GCCAGGUGUGGUGGCUCACACCUGUAAUCCCAGCACUUUGGGAGGCUGAGGUGGGUGGAUCACUUGAGGUCAGGAGUUCAAGACCAGCCUGACCAACAUGGUGAAACCCCAUCUCUA
Macaca mulatta (Rhesus monkey) is the source of this 117-nucleotide unclassified non-coding RNA. It matches the Rfam family "Metazoan signal recognition particle RNA". From Rfam's summary of the family: The signal recognition particle (SRP) is a universally conserved ribonucleoprotein. It is involved in the co-translational targeting of proteins to membranes. The record is from Ensembl. Lineage: Eukaryota; Metazoa; Chordata; Mammalia; Primates; Cercopithecidae.